UCUGGUUGAUCCUGCCAGUAGUCAUAUGCUUGUCUCAAAGAUUAAGCCAUGCAUGUCUAAGUAUAAGUUCUGUACUGCGAAACUGUGAAUGGCUCAUUAUAACAGUUAUUAUUCCCUGGCCGGUCAGUGAUCCCUUGGAUACCCAUGGUAAUUCUAGAGCUAAUACAUGCACAAAGAGGCGACUUCUCGGAAGCCUUGUGUUUAUUAGAUACAGAACCAAUACCGCUUGCGGUUUGUGGAUGAUUCAUAAUAAAUGAACGGAGCGCAUGGCUUGUGCCGGCGCUGUAUCAUUCAAGUUUCUGACCUAUCAGCUUUCGACGGUAGGGUAUUGGCCUACCGUGGCAUUGACGGGUAACGGAGAAUUAGGGUUCGAUUCCGGAGAGGGAGCCCGAGAAACGGCUACCACAUCUAAGGAAGGCAGCAGGCGCGCAAAUUACCCAAUCCUGACGCAGGGAGGUAGUGACAAGAAAUAACAAAGCAGGUGCAAAUGCAUUCUGCUAUUGGAAUGAGUAGAAUUUAAAUCUCUUUUCGACUAUCAAUUGGAGGGCAAGUCUGGU
Molecule: ribosomal RNA, 557 nt
Filed under: uncultured eukaryote
Lineage: Eukaryota
Description: bacterial SSU rRNA
Rfam family: Eukaryotic small subunit ribosomal RNA
Source: RNAcentral